AGAAUCAACGCUGGCGGCGUGCCUAACACAUGCAAGUCGCACGAGAAAGGGUAGCAAUACCUGAGUAAAGUGGCGCACGGGUGAGUAACACGUGAAUUAUCUACCUCCGAGUGGGGGAAUAACUGAGAGAAAUCUUAGCUAAUACCGCAUAACACUUACGAGUCAAAGCAGCAAUGCGCUUGGAGAGGAGUUCGCGGCCGAUUAGUUAGUUGGCGGGGUAAUGGCCCACCAAGACGAUGAUCGGUA
This 246-nucleotide ribosomal RNA is filed under the name uncultured bacterium. RNAcentral's name for it is "partial small subunit ribosomal RNA". It matches the Rfam family "Bacterial small subunit ribosomal RNA", at positions 26 to 285 of the family's 1533-position model. The record is from RNAcentral.